This 569-nucleotide ribosomal RNA is filed under the name uncultured Bacteroidota bacterium. RNAcentral describes it as "SSU rRNA". It matches the Rfam family "Bacterial small subunit ribosomal RNA", at positions 242 to 808 of the family's 1533-position model. The record is from RNAcentral. Lineage: Bacteria; Pseudomonadati; Bacteroidota.
CAGCUAGUUGGUAAGGUAAUGGCUUACCAAGGCUACGAUGUUUAGGGGAUCUGAGAGGAUGACCCCCCACACUGGUACUGAGACACGGACCAGACUCCUACGGGAGGCAGCAGUAAGGAAUAUUGGUCAAUGGGCGGAAGCCUGAACCAGCCAUGCCGCGUGCAGGAAGACGGCCCUACGGGUUGUAAACUGCUUUUGCAGGGGAAUAAACCUCAUUACGUGUAAUGAGUUGAAUGUACUCUGAGAAUAAGGAUCGGCUAACUCCGUGCCAGCAGCCGCGGUAAUACGGAGGAUCCGAGCGUUAUCCGGAUUUAUUGGGUUUAAAGGGUGCGUAGGCGGCUUAUUAAGUCAGGGGUGAAAGACGGUAGCUUAACUAUCGCAGUGCCUUUGAUACUGAUGAGCUUGAAUGUACUUGAGGUAGGCGGAAUGUGACAAGUAGCGGUGAAAUGCAUAGAUAUGUCACAGAACACCAAUUGCGAAGGCAGCUUACUAAAGUAUGAUUGACGCUGAGGCACGAAAGCGUGGGGAUCAAACAGGAUUAAAUACCCUGGUAGUCCACGCCCUAAACG